CAUGGGGUUGCGGCCAUAAUUCGGGCUGGAGCGGGUGAAAUUAUUGGAUCCGCGCAUGCGUGGUGGUCGCGCUCGCUAAAUACGCAAAUAAGCUGUUAUUCAUUUUAGAAACGAACGUAUCGCGUGGGGCGAUUAUUUAUGGCAGCGAAAUGCUAUGAAUGAAAAAAGUUAUAUUAGUGCUUUACGUUCGUUUAUGUUCAUUGAUUUCUAGUCUUGGCACUUUCGUAAGUGGUAUUCGAGUAUCAAAUACGUUUAACGCAAUCUUGAAUUUAAAUUAAUGAAAUAUUUAUAAUAAAACACCACGGUGACAACUUCUCCGCUGUCAUAUAAACAUCCAAACAAACGGUGUGGUUAAAGUACGGUGCUGCCAUACAUACUGAAAACAUCAUGGAAACCUCGCUACCUGCAUCGUCUUGGUGAAAUACCGACAUCUUUAUUGACGUUUUAUCAGCCAUAAGAGCAGCUUGUCUAAAGAAUUGCAACGUGAUCAGUUGAUAGCGGAAAAUAUAGACGUUUCGAAUAUUUUAGAGUUUUCAUGACCUACUACCACCACGACGCUUAACGCGAAAUUAAUCCAUAUAAGUAGUUCUAAUUACGGAAGAGCGCCAGCUAGAUGGGUGGACCAACUCAAGGAGGUGACUGGAGGCCAGAUACAGGGAGCGGUACAUAUGGCGCAGAACCGGACCGAGUGGAGAAGAUUGACAUAGAGCCACGAUCCUCAGCAUUGAGGGAACGACCAGAAAGAAAGAAAAUUAUGACUUGCUAAAACCGAAGAUAAUGCUAAUUUAAGAAUUAUUAAGAUCUACCCUCUUUCUGUCACAAUACGGGAACCCUCGCUUGAAGCAAGGGCAGGUUUCCACGCAAUCAUCUUCGCAGUACCAGUUCUUGAUUUUACACGAGCAUGCCUUAAUGCACUUGCAGACUCUGAACUCAUCCUGCAACCAGGAAGUUAAGUCCAAGACCUUUCCGUUGAUGGAAACCCAACAGUCUGUCGCCUUAUUGUGAACGGCUACCUCGGCCGGCGUGUACCAUUCUUGUUUAGUGUAUUUCAUUGGGUUAUCUUUUAUUGAAAUUUUUUGACAUUACUGUCAUUUUGAUAGGUGUAAUUAUUUAAAUAAUUUAGAUUUUGUAGAUUUAUAGAGGAUUUAAUCUUUAAUCCAUAGGCUCUCAAACUACAUUUAUGUGACGUUACAUAACUUUUAUAUAUAUAUAUUUUCGGCGCCAUUUUCACACGUGGUUCUUCAAAAAUUCGUGAGCGAAUUUAGUUUUAUACUUCAACCAUCACAUUCUCUAGUCAAGCCAUUAGUAGAGGCAGCACAGAGUUUGUUUUCUCAGGCAUUCUGGCGUGAGCCCCCCCUAAUGGAAAAAAUUCCCUUUGUCUUUUACGUCCACGUGCUGUUUCAUAGUUUACUGAACAAACUUUUAAAUCAGGUAUUUUAUUCAUUUCAUUAAUGUUCGAAUCACGGCCCACUUUUAACUACCAUUACCGGAGACAGCCUCAUGUAUAUGAGCUGCUCAUUAAACCAGAACGCGUCGCUCUUACCCCACGUACCUACCUAAGCUGAUAGCCUUGAGAGGCUAUAUCAGCGUAACCUUAGCUAGUAGGUGAGCUCACAGUGCUCAAGCCGGAAUGAUGCUAGCACUGACCCUAGCAAGAGCCGUGCUUCGCAGAAUCUACCACCGGAUCGGAAACGCGACCCACUGAGAAGAUCCGGCGAGAAACUCAGUGGGCUGUGUCUAUGGGGGCUCCGCCACUACUACUAUCUGUUACUAUCUGUAUUUAUAAGCAAUUUUUGAAGUCUUUUAAUUUUAACAUCACAAUAUUGAGAAACAUAAACGUAACCACUAAAAUUAAAUAAAUAAAUAAAGUUUUAUAAACAAUAUACUUUAUUGAACGUUAUAUACAAUUGAAUGAGCUACGUGACCUAUUGCAGGUAGCUCAGUCGUCUUUACAGAGUAACAAAAUGAAAAAAUAUUGCUAUAAUCUGUGAACGUAAAACUCCGACAGUGACAUGACAGCGUCGCCGCGUAGUACAAGUGGCGCCACCACGCCGGAGCUAUCGGUCCCGCUCAUUCGUUCGUUCCAUCAGCUGUCAUUAAACUCAACAAAACCUGUUAUCUUUGUUUUAUAACGUUACGAGGCACUCUCGUUAAAGAUAGAUCAAAUCGAAAGGUGAAAGGCUAUAUGGUUUUAGCGACAUUUUUGCAAAUAUACAGGACUAUAUAAAGCAUUAAAAUUUCGAAAAAAAAUCAUGAAAAAAA
Long non-coding RNA from Bombyx mori (domestic silkworm), 2262 nucleotides. RefSeq lists it as uncharacterized. The record is from RefSeq and is a predicted model, not a curated record. NCBI's taxonomy places the organism in Eukaryota, Metazoa, Arthropoda, Insecta, Lepidoptera, Bombycidae. The transcript has 3 exons.